GACGAACGCUGGCGGCGUGCUUAACACAUGCAAGUCGAACGGAAAGGCCCUGCUUUUGUGGGGUGCUCGAGUGGCGAACGGGUGAGUAACACGUGAGUAACCUGCCCUUGACUUUGGGAUAACUUCAGGAAACUGGGGCUAAUACCGGAUAGGAGCUCCUGCUGCAUGGUGGGGGUUGGAAAGUUUCGGCGGUUGGGGAUGGACUCGCGGCUUAUCAGCUUGUUGGUGGGGUAGUGGCUUACCAAGGCUUUGACGGGUAGCCGGCCUGAGAGGGUGACCGGCCACAUUGGGACUGAGAUACGGCGCAGACUACUACGGGAGGCAGCAGUGGGGAAUAUUGCGCAAUGGGCGGAAGCCUGAUGCAGCAACGCCGCGUGCGGGAUGACGGCCUUCGGGUUGUAAACCGCUUUCGCCUGUGACGAAGCGUGAGUGACGGUAAUGGGUAAAGAAGCACCGGCUAACUACGUG
RNAcentral lists this ribosomal RNA (468 nucleotides) under uncultured bacterium. RNAcentral's name for it is "partial 16S ribosomal RNA". It matches the Rfam family "Bacterial small subunit ribosomal RNA", at positions 28 to 507 of the family's 1533-position model. The record is from RNAcentral.